Molecule: long non-coding RNA, 1196 nt
Organism: Neopsephotus bourkii (Bourke's parrot)
Lineage: Eukaryota; Metazoa; Chordata; Aves; Psittaciformes; Psittacidae
Exons: 3
Source: RefSeq, a predicted model, not a curated record
AAAAAUACCCAACCAAGGAAACCCCGAACAAACAAAGAGACAAGCAACCAAACCUCCUUUUCUCCUCCUCCAAUUCUGAGAGCAAGAUUAACUGAUGAGACCCCAGUGUUUAUCUAGAGAACAGCUGUCCCAGGCUCCAGCAGACACAGGACUGCAGGAAUGGUUUUCAAGGCCAUCUUAUUCAAACCAAGAUGAAAGAAAUCUGGUUAUUGGUAAGAUUGUAGCACACAUUUUAACAAAGACCAGCCUGGUUCUCCUGAGCUUACUUGAUGUAAUAGAAGACAAAAAGAAUAGGAAUUUCACAAGAAAAAGACCUAUAGAUGACCGGCUACUCAAUAAGGGCACAGGGUGGAAAGAAGGAAAAAAUGCACUCCCAUCUGCUUCAAUCUUUCAAGAGUGUGAAUAUGAACAGACCAGCUGACUUCUGAUUUAAUCAAGCUCAACUUUCUAAAUUAUAUCUUUUUACAUAUCUAAAAUUUAAAAUUCUGCAUAUCUUGAAUUAUCUACAACUCAAAUACCAACACAGAGCUAGAUAAUGCCCAAGAUUUGUCUUCUUCACUUCUGAACUGAAACCUAAUUCAAGAACAGCUUUCUUUUUCCUGUCAAACAGGGCCUGAUUCAACUAUGUACUAGUAACUGCUAUGUACUAUUACUAAAGAAGUACUUAGAGUAAAAGCUUCCAUAAGUUUAUUAAAAUUUAAUUAUUUCCUACUGCAGGCAAGGUCAAUCUCUAAAACCAAUUGCAUACUACUUGGUGCCAAAUGCAUUCUACUGUAAUGACAGCUGCCAAAACAAUGAACAUCCCCAUUCUGCAAGUGUAAGCACAUAUGCUAUCCUAAAUUAAGUUUAGGAAAGAUCACAGCAAAAAGGGCUUCCAGGUAGAAAAUACAGUGUCAGAUUUCCUCAAAAACACAUAUUUGCCAAUAGAAAACACCGCCAAUUUCACAGAAAAAUAGAAGGUUGGACUAGCUCUGUUAAAUAGAACUGGCCACAAAAACUGGCUAUAUGACACAGCCAGGAACCAAAACUGAGCCAGAACUUGCCAAAGCUGCAGAAUGCCUUUUGUAGAACAAAUAGCUUUCCUGGGAUGCUUCCACUUAAGUAUUCCAUGCUCUCUCUUUUCUACAUGUUCCUAUUUUUCUUGGCUAUAAAGAUUCAUUAGAAACCAUACCAGGAAAACAAAGUAUUAUACGUAA